RNAcentral lists this ribosomal RNA (506 nucleotides) under uncultured Desulfobulbus sp. Its description in RNAcentral is "bacterial SSU rRNA". It matches the Rfam family "Bacterial small subunit ribosomal RNA", at positions 903 to 1382 of the family's 1533-position model. Lineage: Bacteria; Pseudomonadati; Thermodesulfobacteriota; Desulfobulbia; Desulfobulbales; Desulfobulbaceae. The record is from RNAcentral.
GCCAGCCCGCUCAGAAACUUAAAUGAAUUCGACGGGGCCCGCACAAGCGGUGGAGUAUGUGGUUUAAUUCGAUGCAACGCGAAGAACCUUACCUGGUCUUGACAUCCCGGAGACCCUUAGGAAACUAGGGGUGGCUUCCAUCUGGAAGAAUCUGGAGACAGGUGCUGCAUGGCUGUCGUCAGCUCGUGUCGUGAGAUGUUGGGUUAAGUCCCGCAACGAGCGCAACCCUUGCCUUUAGUUGCCAGCAGUUCGGCUGGGCACUCUAAAGGGACUGCCGGUGUUAAACCGGAGGAAGGUGGGGGAUGACGUCAAGUCCUCAUGGCCUUUAUGACCAGGGCUACACACGUACUACAAUGGCCGAUACAAAGGGCAGCGACACUGCGAGGUGAAGCCAAUCCCGUAAAAUCGGUCUCAGUCCGGAUUGGAGUCUGCAACUCGACUCCAUGAAGUUGGAAUCGCUAGUAAUCGUGGAUCAGCAUGCCACGGUGAAUACGUUCCCGGGCCUU